UCAGGAUGAACGCUAGCUACAGGCUUAACACAUGCAAGUCGAGGGGCAGCAGAUCGAUAGCUUGCUAUGAUGCUGGCGACCGGCGCACGGGUGAGUAACGCGUAUCCAACCUUCCCUAUAGUAGAGGAUAGCCCGGCGAAAGUCGGAUUAAUACUCUAUGUUUUCCAAUGCAGACAUCUAAGUUGGAACAAAGGUUCACCGCUAUAGGAUGGGGAUGCGUCUGAUUAGGUUGUUGGCGGGUAACGGCCCACCAAGCCUACGAUCAGUAGGGGUUCUGAGAGGAAGGUCCCCCACAUUGGAACUGAGACACGGUCCAAACUCCUACGGGAGGCAGCAGUGAGGAAUAUUGGUCAAUGGGCGAGAGCCUGAACCAGCCAAAAGUAGCGUGCAGGAUGACGGCCCUAUGGGUUGUAAACUGCUUUUAUACGGGGAUAAAGUGAGGGACGUGUCCCUUAUUGUAGGUACCGUAUGAAUAAGGACCGGCUAAUUCCGUGCCAGCCGCCGC
RNAcentral lists this ribosomal RNA (505 nucleotides) under uncultured bacterium. Its description in RNAcentral is "bacterial SSU rRNA". It matches the Rfam family "Bacterial small subunit ribosomal RNA", at positions 24 to 518 of the family's 1533-position model. The record is from RNAcentral.